GUUGAAGCCAAUUCCGGAAUUUUUUUCCGAAAACAUAUUUCCACAACAAGAGGCGGAAAUAUGUUUCCAGUUUUUUUUUUGCCCAUUACGGAACGCUCGCACUCAAUCCCAUCAUCGUCUCUCUCGCCUUCUCACUCUCCUGCACCCCUCGUCGUCUCUCUCGCCCUCUCACUCUCCUGCUGUGUAGGUAGUCCUCAUACCACAGCGACCUUCUGUCUUCAGCAGGCAUACAUCCAAGUGAAUUGCCAUUCGCCCUGAGCAGAAAAAGCCUCCUCCUGUCCUUUUGGAUAUUGGUGAUGGUUCAGAUGCUGCACAGACUAGUUCAAAGGAUGUUGAACAGGGCUAAUAAGUCCACAUCAAGAACCAUUAUAAAUCAACCUCCUCUGCAGUAACUACUGCUUCCUGCACCACCAGGAGCUGCAGCAGCUUAUUUGCAACCGAAGAAGCCAGCUAAGGCUGAAGACAAACUUUUUGGUGAUCUAGUAAGCAUUGCAAAGACAAAAUCUAAACCCUCGAGUACCCCGGCAACUUAGGAUUCUUGUGAUGGAUUUGCGUGAUAGAGCUUUUAUUCCUUGCUCUAAUAAUUUCUUUCAGCUCCCACUUGAAUGUUGAUUUGCUUAUUGAAGUUAUGUACAUUCUUUUUUCACAUAUGUUAUUGUAAUCACAAUCCCCUGUAAAAUAAGAGCUUCAUGCUUCUGCUAUUCAAAUAGGUAUAUUUUUAUGUUUGUUCGGAGCAUUUUGUUGGAUGUAGUUGUCCCUGCAAUUAAAUCAAAGGUGCCAUAUUGAGUUGUUCA
Nymphaea colorata (pocket water lily) is the source of this 794-nucleotide long non-coding RNA. RefSeq lists it as uncharacterized. NCBI's taxonomy places the organism in Eukaryota, Viridiplantae, Streptophyta, Magnoliopsida, Nymphaeales, Nymphaeaceae. The transcript is spliced from 3 exons. The record is from RefSeq and is a predicted model, not a curated record.